UGUUGACGGUAGUGGGUGAUGAAUUUCUCCUAACUUGGUGCCGGCAGUUCAUGGUAAUUCGAAGUGGGCAAGCGUUAUUGGAAUGCCUGGGCUAAAGGGCGCGUGUGCGGUUCUUUGAAUCAGAUGUGAUAGCCCCGGGCUCACCCUGGGAACCCCUUUAAUCCGGGCUGGGUUGAAUCCAAGAGAGGGCGGUGGAAUUCCCCCCGUCGAGGUGAAAUUCUGGAUAUUGGGAAGAACUCCCUGGCGAAGGCGGCCACCGGGCUUGGCAUAAAUGGGAGGCUUGAAAGGGUGGGGAGCAAACAGGAUUAGAUUCCUUUCUAGUCCACGCCGUAAUCGAAGUAUCCUAGCCGUCGGGCAGCUUGGUGUUCUCAUGCGCAGCUAACUCCAUAAGCACUCCGCGCGGCGAGUACGGUAGCAAGACUAAAACUCAA
This 431-nucleotide ribosomal RNA is filed under the name uncultured Alphaproteobacteria bacterium. RNAcentral's name for it is "bacterial SSU rRNA". It matches the Rfam family "Bacterial small subunit ribosomal RNA", at positions 467 to 904 of the family's 1533-position model. The record is from RNAcentral. Lineage: Bacteria; Pseudomonadati; Pseudomonadota; Alphaproteobacteria.